Sapajus apella (tufted capuchin) is the source of this 728-nucleotide RNA transcript. It is a transcript of the gene named histone H1oo pseudogene, with no coding region annotated. Lineage: Eukaryota; Metazoa; Chordata; Mammalia; Primates; Cebidae. The record is from RefSeq and is a predicted model, not a curated record. The transcript has 2 exons.
GCGAGCCCAGUCAGCAGCGGGCCACCCACGGCGGCGGCGAGAGCAGCCAAAGUAGCAGCAGCAGCUCUGGAGGACGGGCUCGGGGUGCCGGGAGUGUGGCUGGUAAAAGGAAAAGGCGCAGCAGCUUCCCAGUAGGACGCUGUCACCCCCCUGUGCUGCGCACUGUGCUGGAGGCGCUGCAGGCAGGGGAGCAGCGCCGGGGCACGUUGGUGGCAGCCAUCAAGCUCUACAUCCUGAAAAAGUACCCAACGAUGGAUGUCCUUCGCUUCAAGUACCUGCUGAAGCAGGCGCUGGCCACUGGCACGCGCCGUGGCCUCCUUGCCAGGCCCCUGAACUCCAAAGCCAGGGGGGCCACUGGCAGCUUCAAAUUAGUUACCAAGCACAAGAGGAAAAUCAAGCCUAGGAAGAUGGCCCCUCCGAAGGCCCCUAGGAGAGCGGGUGAAACCAAGGAGAAGGUCCCUAAGAAACCAGAUGAGGCCAAGGAGGAGCCUCCCAAGGCAGACAAGGUCAAAAAGGCAGCCAAGAGGCCAGCAGAGGUGCAGAAGUUUCCUCUCAAGCCAGGUGCAGCCACAGAAAAAGCUGGCAAGCAAGGCAGCAAGGCCAAGGACACCAAGGCACAGCCAGGCGAGGCUCAGAAGCUGACCCCCAAGCCAGACAAGGCCAUGCGGACCCCUUCUAGUGCCAGCAGGUUCAGCAGGAAGACAGAGGCCAAAGGCAGCAGGAGGAUC